This 927-nucleotide ribosomal RNA is filed under the name uncultured Ascomycota. RNAcentral describes it as "eukaryotic LSU rRNA". The stretch from base 283 to 927 matches the Rfam family "Eukaryotic large subunit ribosomal RNA", at positions 1 to 664 of the family's 3401-position model. The record is from RNAcentral. Lineage: Eukaryota; Fungi; Ascomycota.
AUCGAUGAAGAACGCAGCGAAAUGCGAUAAGUAAUGUGAAUUGCAGAAUUCAGUGAAUCAUCGAAUCUUUGAACGCACAUUGCGCCCUCUGGUAUUCCGGGGGGCAUGCCUGUUCGAGCGUCAUUACACCACUCAAGCUCAGCUUGGUAUUGGAGGCCACCCCCCCGGGGGGUGCCCCCGAAAAACAGCGGCGAAGCGGCCGGAUUCUCUAGCGCAGUGACUUACAUCUCGCUACACGAAGUCGGACGUUUCCGCCGGACAACCACCAAUUUUUUUAAAGGUUGACCUCGGAUCAGGUAGGGAUACCCGCUGAACUUAAGCAUAUCAAUAAGCGGAGGAAAAGAAACCAACAGGGAUUGCCUCAGUAACGGCGAGUGAAGCGGCAACAGCUCAAAUUUGAAAUCUGGCCUCACGGUCCGAGUUGUAAUUUGUAGAGGAUGUUUCGGGUGCGUCUCCGGUCUAAGUUCCUUGGAACAGGGCGUCAUAGAGGGUGAGAAUCCCGUACGUGACCGGUUGACAAGCCCAUGUGAAACUCCUUCGACGAGUCGAGUUGUUUGGGAAUGCAGCUCAAAAUGGGUGGUAAAUUUCAUCUAAAGCUAAAUAUUGGCCAGAGACCGAUAGCGCACAAGUAGAGUGAUCGAAAGAUGAAAAGCACUUUGGAAAGAGAGUUAAAAAGUACGUGAAAUUGUUGAAAGGGAAGCGCUUGCAACCAGACUCGCCCGGGGGUGAUCAACCGUCCUUUUGGGCGGUGCACUCUCCCCCGGUCGGGCCAGCAUCGAUUCGGGCGGUAGGACAAAGGUUCCGGGAACGUGGCUCACCUCGGUGAGUGUUAUAGCCCGGAGCGUAAUGCUACCAGCCUGGAUCGAGGACCGCGCUUCGGCUAGGAUGCUGGCGUAAUGGUUGCUAGCGACCCGUCUUGAAACACGG